Molecule: ribosomal RNA, 867 nt
Filed under: uncultured soil bacterium
Lineage: Bacteria
Description: bacterial SSU rRNA
Rfam family: Bacterial small subunit ribosomal RNA
Source: RNAcentral
UCGACGAGGUAACAAUACCUAGUGGCAGACGGGUGAGUAACACGUGGUCAACCUGCCUCUGUGUGGGGGAUAACUAGCCGAAAGGUUAGCUAAUAUCGCAUACGAUCGUCCGAGGGCACCCUUAGACGAUGAAAGGAGCAAUCCGCACAGAGAGGGGACUGCGUCCCAUUAGUUUGUUGGUGGGGUAACGGCCUACCAAGACCGCGAUGGGUAGCUGGCUUGAGAGAGCGACCAGCCACACUGGAACUGAGACACGGUCCAGACUCCUACGGGAGGCAGCAGUGAGGAAUUUUCCGCAAUGGGCGAAAGCCUGACGGAGCGACGCCGCGUGUGGGAAGAAGGCCUUCGGGUCGUAAACCACUGUCGAAGGGGACGAUACUGACGGUACCCUUGGAGGAAGCCCCGGCUAACUACGUGCCAGCAGCCGCGGUAAGACGUAGGGGGCAAGCGUUGUCCGGAAUUAUUGGGCGUAAAGCGCUCGUAGGUGGAUCGGCAAGUCCGCAAGCAAAGACCCGGGCUCAACUCGGGAAUCCGUGUGGAAACUGCCGACCUUGAGGUAGUCAGAGGAUGAUGGAAUUCCCGGUGUAGCGGUGAAAUGCGUAGAUAUCGGGAAGAACACCAGUGGCGAAGGCGAUCAUCUGGGGCUAACCUGACACUGAGGAGCGAAAGCUAGGGGAGCAAACGGGAUUAGAUACCCCGGUAGUCCUAGCCGUAAACGAUGGACACUAGGUGUAGGUGGUAUCGACUCCAUCUGUGCCGCAGUUAACACAAUAAGUGUCCCGCCUGGGGAGUACGGCCGCAAGGUUAAAACUCAAAGGAAUUUGACGGGGGGCCCGCACAAGCGGUGGAAGCAUGUGGUUUAAUUUC